This 426-nucleotide long non-coding RNA is filed under the name Brachypodium distachyon (stiff brome). RNAcentral's name for it is "long non-coding RNA (BDIS_LNC004956)". Lineage: Eukaryota; Viridiplantae; Streptophyta; Magnoliopsida; Poales; Poaceae. The record is from RNAcentral.
GACGUCGACGUCGCCGUGGCCCUGGUAGACCUGCGGCAGCGAGGCGGCGAGCGUGAUCUGCUGGUACUUGUAGGAGGCGUAGACGUCGAGGCGGUCGUAGUAGACGCCCACCCGGUCGUUGGGGUUCCGGGACGCGAUCGUAACCUGCAGCGUCGUGGAGAGCACCCCGCCGGCGCCGGAGUUGGAGGAGUUUUGGGGGAGGUCGAGCUGGCGGAGGGAGGCGUCCUGGAGGAAGAAGCGCGGGUGGGUCGGGCGGAGCACGAGGUAGACGAUGAGCGCGAUGAUGGCGACGACCAGGGCUAGGAGGAGGAUGAAGGCCGCCAGGCGACGGCACGUGCGGCGCAGGUCGUCCUCGCCGUGGUUGCCGCAGUCCUUUCCCAUGGCGGCGGCGGCGGAGGAGGAGGAGGGGUAAAGGUCUCUGCUUUU